GGGUUAUGCUUCCGUAGUGACCUGCGGAAGGAUCAUUACUUAUUCAUCGGAAGUGAGUCCAGGUGGGCGAUGGAGGUAUGGGCAACCAUGCUUACCAUACGCCCCUUCACUCUUCAUGAACAUCCCAUCUGUGUAUCAAACCUCUGUUGCUUCCCGUACGGCGUAGCCUGCAAGGGCUACCCUGCGGGGAGGAUAUUAUAAACUCUGGUUGUUGUAUUGUUAGUCUGAGUGGUACACACAUUAAACAAGUUAAAACUUUCAACAACGGAUCUCUUGGUUCUCGCAUCGAUGAAGAACGCAGCGAAAUGCGAUAAGUAGUGUGAAUUGCAGAAUUCAGUGAAUCAUCGAAUCUUUGAACGCACAUUGCGCCUUCUGGUAUUCCGGGAGGCAUGCCUGUUCGAGCGUCAUCAAACACAUCCUCAAGCACCUUUUGCUUGGUAUUGGAGGAAGAUGUCUGCAUCUCCUCUCAAAUCCCUCAGCGGAAACUACUGCAGUCUCAGGUGUCAUAAGAUUACCUUUCGCUUGAUCACUGCCGGUAGGUUCUUGCUGUGAAGAGCCCCCCAGCUAUUCUUUCAUGUUUGACCUCGAAUCAGGUAGGGAUACCCGCUGAACUUAAGCUAAAGG
RNAcentral lists this ribosomal RNA (624 nucleotides) under Sarcosomataceae sp. GSH5_5_12. Its description in RNAcentral is "eukaryotic LSU rRNA". The stretch from base 254 to 407 matches the Rfam family "5.8S ribosomal RNA". Lineage: Eukaryota; Fungi; Ascomycota; Pezizomycetes; Pezizales; Sarcosomataceae. The record is from RNAcentral.